ACUUGAUAUAUAAUUAAAGGGCCGCGGUAAUUUGACCGUGCGAAGGUAGCACAAUAACUAGUCUUUUAAUUGGAGGCUUGAAUGAAGGGUCGGAUGAGGGAUCAAGUGUCUCUAGACUAUAAUUAAAAUUUAACUUUUAAGUGAAAAGGCUUAAAUUCUUUAGUGGGACGAUAAGACCCUAUAAAACUUAUAUAUAUAUAGGUCAUGUAUUUUAUAAUAAAGUUUAAAAUAAUGUGAUCCAGGUUGUAUUUUGUUGGGGCGACAAGAAUAUAAAUAUUAACUGUUUGAGAAUUGUAAUACUGAUGGGUAGAAUUGUGAUCCUUUAUUAGAGAUUAAAAGAUUAAGUUACUUUAGGGAUAACAGCGUAAUUUUCUUUGAGAGUUCUUAUCGACAAGAUUAGUUGCGACCUCGAUGUUGAAUUAAAAUUUUAAUCAGGUGCAGCCGCUUGAUUGUAAGGUCUGUUCGACCUUUAAAUUUUUACAUGAUUUGAGUUCAGACCGG
RNAcentral lists this ribosomal RNA (501 nucleotides) under Stegopontonia commensalis. RNAcentral describes it as "partial 16S ribosomal RNA". It matches the Rfam family "Bacterial large subunit ribosomal RNA", at positions 1910 to 2619 of the family's 2925-position model. Lineage: Eukaryota; Metazoa; Arthropoda; Malacostraca; Decapoda; Palaemonidae. The record is from RNAcentral.